Molecule: ribosomal RNA, 497 nt
Filed under: uncultured bacterium
Lineage: Bacteria
Description: partial 16S ribosomal RNA
Rfam family: Bacterial small subunit ribosomal RNA
Source: RNAcentral
GAUGAACGCUGGCGGCGUGCCUAAUACAUGCAAGUCGAGCGAACAGACGAGGAGCUUGCUCCUCUGACGUUAGCGGCGGACGGGUGAGUAACACGUGGAUAACCUACCUAUAAGACUGGGAUAACUUCGGGAAACCGGAGCUAAUACCGGAUAAUAUAUUGAACCGCAUGGUUCAAUAGUGAAAGACGGUAUUGCUGUCACUUAUAGAUGGAUCCGCGCCGCAUUAGCUAGUUGGUAAGGUAACGGCUUACCAAGGCAACGAUGCGUAGCCGACCUGAGAGGGUGAUCGGCCACACUGGAACUGAGACACGGUCCAGACUCCUACGGGAGGCAGCAGUAGGGAAUCUUCCGCAAUGGGCGAAAGCCUGACGGAGCAACGCCGCGUGAGUGAUGAAGGUCUUCGGAUCGUAAAACUCUGUUAUUAGGGAAGAGCAAAUGUGUAAGUAACUAUGCACGUCUUGACGGUACCUAAUCAGAAAGCCACGGCUAACUACGUG